AGAGUUUGAUCAUGGCUCAGGACGAACGCUGGCGGCGUGGAUAAGGCAUGCAAGUCGAACGCGAACGGAAUGACUAACUCGUUAGAAGUUCCUAGUAGAGUGGCGAACGGGUGAGUAACGCGUGGAUAACGUGCCUCUCAGUGGGGAAUAACACAGGGAAACUUGUGCUAAUACCGCAUACGUCCUUCCGGCCAAGUCGGAAUGAUGAAAGGUGGGGACCUUCGGGCCUGCCGCUGAGAGAUCGGUCCGCGUCCCAUUAGCUUGUUGGUGGGGUAACGGCCUACCAAGGCAGUGAUGGGUAGCCGGCCUGAGAGGGUGACCGGCCACACUGGGAUUGAGAUACGGCCCAGACUCCUUCGGGAGGCAGCAGUCGAGAAUCUUCCACAAUGGACGAAAGUCUGAUGGAGCGACGCCGCGUGAGUGAUGAGGGCCCUACGGGUUGUAAAACUCUGUCAGGAGAGAAGAAUCGCCGGGAUGCCAAUACCAUCCUGGUCUGACGUUAUCUCCAGAGGAAGCUCCGGCUAACUCCGUGCCAGCAGCCGCGGUAAUACGGGGGGAGCAAGCGUUGUCCGGAAUUAUUGGGCGUAAAGGGCGUGUAGGCGGCCUGGUCAGUCGAAUGUGAAAUCCCACGGCUCAACCGUGGAAUUGCGUUCGAUACUGCCUGGCUUGAGUAUGUGAGAGGUGUGCGGAAUUCCUGGUGUAGCGGUGGAAUGCGUAGAUAUCAGGAAGAACACCGAUGGCGAAGGCAGCACACUGGCGCAAUACUGACGCUGAGGCGCGAAAGCGUGGGGAGCAAACAGGAUUAGAUACCCUGGUAGUCCACGCUGUAAACGAUGGGUACUGGGGUUUCGGGGGUCUCAACCCUCUCGGAGCCGUAGCUAACGCGUUAAGUACCCCGCCUGGGGAGUACGGUCGCAAGGCUGAAACUCAAAUGAAUUGACGG
Molecule: ribosomal RNA, 943 nt
Filed under: uncultured bacterium
Lineage: Bacteria
Description: bacterial SSU rRNA
Rfam family: Bacterial small subunit ribosomal RNA
Source: RNAcentral